AGUGUUUACAGCGCUGGGCGGCAGGCGCAGAUGUUGUAGCAGCCACGCUGCGCCCGGGACAGCGCGAAGCCAGUUCCUGACUUUGCAUGGACAAACGAGUGCAGGACCUCAAAGCUGGCCCGAUUUACAAAGCAGUAGGCUGGCGCUGGCGUUUGCAGUCAGGACUGUAGAUUCUCAAGGCUCCCUAACCUUUUUCUUCAGAGGUUUUGUUUGUUUGGUUGUUUUUUUGUUUGGGAACGUUUUUUACCUCUGAUCUUUUCUCUUUGUUCACGCUAAUUAUGAGCCAUUAACUUAAACCAAAAAAAAAGCAACAAACCCAAACCAAACAACGCGCCACCCUCCCGGCGCGGGGGCGGCGGGCAGCGAGCAGCAGUCUCUCCCCUCAGCGGCCAUCGCUUCCCUGCCGCGGCCCCGGGCGCUCGGCGGGCCCGGGCCCUCCCCGCCUGCCGGGGCGCGGAUGGGGCUCCCCCAUCUCCUCCCGCCGCUGCCACAGCCACCCCCCGCCUCCGAGCGCGGCUCUCCCGCCCCGCCCCGCCGGCGGCAGGGCAGGGGCGGGGGCGCGGAGCGGCGGCUCCGCCCCGGGGCGGAGGGACGCGUUCGCCGCCUCCCGCCUGCCGCCGUCGCGGGGACUCGGUGCCGGGCGGCUGCUGGCGGCGUCUCCCGUCCCGUCCCGUCCGGUCCCGGGGAUGUCCGGCGGGGGCAGCCGGCGGCGGGCCGGCCCCUCCUGGCACAGCACUUUCUCUCGCUUCUUCUCCAGGAGCCCAUCCGGCGAGGGGGCGGCGAACAGAUAAUUUAAAAGAGGAGAAAACUGUAGCAUGUGAAGUUUGCAGAUGAUUAGAGCGAAAAGUGUGGAAAUCACCAUGUAGAUGACAUUGGAAGCAAACUAAGUUGUCAUGGUUGACAGCCAGUUAAACAUGAGCUGCCAAAGUGGUGGCUCAGAGAAGAAAACAUGAUUGUCGGGUGUAUAAACAACAAAACACGUGUAUUCUGUGGAUUCUUUGGUUACUGCAGUACCGAAUCUCGUUUUGGUGUCCAUGAUUUAUCAUGAAAAAGAUGCUGGCAAACUGAAAAGGGCUCUGGAAAGAGCUCCAGAACAAUUUGAUGUCUGGAAAACCUCCCUCACAGAAUAAAGUGAAGUAGCUCAGUGGCAUUUAGUCUUGAAAUGACAGCGUUAAAGUUUGAGGAAUGAUUCUGCCUCAAGGAAUAUAACUGGAAGGGAAAUCAGAUUUACGUGCUUUAUGUUAUAGUAGACUUGGGCCUUCAAGAGGUUAUUUGAAGCUGAGACCUUUAUAAUCUGUCCCACAGAGAUGUAGAUUUAUUGAGAGAUGAAACUUGAAUAGUCAAGCCUAAUAAGUAGUGAAUUUAGUAGUAGUUUGCAUGGAAAGGUCUUGCUUACAAAUGUGGUCGUUUUUCCAUAGUUUGUUGUUUUUCAACCAAAGCUCAUAGCUUCUUGUGUGUUACAGGCUUGACACAGGUCUCCUGUGGUGAAAUUUCAUCAUCUAGAUUAUGCUGGAGGCCAGCUGCAGUAAUCAUAAGGGUCUAUAUGGCAAGCAGGGUAACUGGUAUAUAAAUAAAAAAUAUUAACUAAAAAGUCUGAUUUUUUUGCAUUCAACUUUUUAUUUACCACUUGGAAACUGGAACAAAGAAGAAACCAAUACUAAGCAACCUAUGGGUCUUUGCAGUUUUACAAUAAAAAAUUCAUUACUACUGCUAGUUUGUGGAUAUGGUGUGAGAAUUCCUGUAAUGUGCUGAAACUUCACUGAGGUCUUGCACAUCUAUAUUUGAUGGUAUUAUUAGACUUGUGGAUUUCCACUCAUUUACAUUCUUCAGGGAGGCUCUUGCACAAAUGGAUUUUAAAGUACUAGGUGAUGAAAUCCUUGUUUCAACGUUUCUCCAUUGAAAUAUCCGUCUGGAAGGUCAGCACUGAACGUGUAACUGUUGGCACAAAGAAAAACUGGAAAGAAGUCAUCAGAAGCACGUGAGGUGUAUUUCCCAGAGAAGGAUGUUAGGUUUGUUCAGAGUGAAAGGAAAGGUGGGGGUCAGGAGCUGGCAUUACACCCCAGAAUACUACAAUAAAGAAAUAAAGAAAGUAAAUGUAAAAAGCAUCUUUGAGGUUGGGCAUUGCCUUUUCUCUUACCAUUAUGAGUCAUCACAUUAAAUGGUUCCUGAGUUAAUCUGAGGAGAAGACCAGUUAAAAACAAACUAUGCCAGCCUUAUGUGGUAACAGAGAGGGUUUGGCUACUCAGGGAGUCAUCUGUCCCUAAGAGAGAGAAGAUGGCAAAAUGCUGGAGCACUCACCUGUCUGCUUACACUUGGACUGCAUAAAAAAUAAAUGCUGGAGCUGCUGCAUUGGAAGAGAUUUGAUUCAAAGCCCUGGGAGAAGUAGGAAGGGUCAACAUCCACGAGUGCUGUGGUAGUGCUGAACUGAAGUUCAGCUUUAGUCAGCUGUCCCCGUUUCCUUAAGGGAGUGCCCAUUAAUUUCCCCCUUCCCAAACAGCAACAGGCAGUCCCUGCCUUCUCCUCAUAAAAGGAACCUAAAAUGUCACAGAAAUUACUUUCAGUUUGAAGAACUCGGCGUGUGGUCAGUCUCAUCCAAACUCGUGUGUUUGUGCUUUAUUACUUGUAUGCUUCCUGUAGGUUUGUUUUUUUUUUAUCUGUCACAACACAUUCACAAUCUGCUGCGUGCAUAACAUGGGUGGGGUGGAUUAAUAAAGGAAGAAGGGGAAGGGCUUUUAAUUUGCAAGUUCUGAGGGAUUGUUAUGAAGGACGAGGAUGGAGGAAGCAGACUUCUCACACCAUACAGAGAUGCUGUGAGGGCCUUUUGAAGAUGUGAUUGUUUGUAAUUGCCUUG
Molecule: long non-coding RNA, 2851 nt
Organism: Cyanoderma ruficeps (rufous-capped babbler)
Lineage: Eukaryota; Metazoa; Chordata; Aves; Passeriformes; Timaliidae
Source: Ensembl